Molecule: small nuclear RNA, 21 nt
Filed under: Arabidopsis thaliana (thale cress)
Lineage: Eukaryota; Viridiplantae; Streptophyta; Magnoliopsida; Brassicales; Brassicaceae
Description: snRNA_06952
Source: RNAcentral
UGAGCGAUUGAGUUGUGUGAU